UAGAAUACUAUGAAUAGAUAAUUCUGGCCGGUGUCCCUCUGCGGACCGGGGUCAGGUCGCCGUCCCUCCUAUCCUGGGUCGGACGCGUAGCGGAAGGAAGGGAGGUGGCGGGGCCACGCCGUGAUGAUGAGGUCCGGCUCAUGAUCGGAUCGGGAGCUGGCCGUCCGACGUGGAGGAGAUGCCAGCGACGCUCCGGCGCCGCCCCACUUCCGCGGCCUUCGGGCGCCUCACUAUCGCUUUCGCUCUCUGGCUUGGCCAGGAAAGGACGGUUGAUUGCACCAGCUUUUGCACCCGCGCAGGCUCUCGGCAUCAUGAUGUGUGAUCUACCCAGAGAAGAAAAAGGAAAAGGGAGGAGGAGAACAUGGAUAAUGCUGUGGUACACAUGCUGGUUAGUGAAGCCAAAGGUGAAGAGAGAGAUUGGCAGGGAAAUGAUAGGCAAUGAAUUUUUGAUGGAAAGGUAGAGAAAAUAAUAUGUACG
This 478-nucleotide long non-coding RNA is filed under the name Musa acuminata (dwarf banana). Its description in RNAcentral is "long non-coding RNA (MACU_LNC004436)". Lineage: Eukaryota; Viridiplantae; Streptophyta; Magnoliopsida; Zingiberales; Musaceae. The record is from RNAcentral.